GCACUCCAGCAGCAGCACGUCUACUAAAACUAGAACAGCACAGAGGAUGUUAGCAUGGCUGCUGUGCAAGGAUAACACGCAAAUCCGUGGAGCAAUCUGCAGAACAU
Molecule: small nuclear RNA, 107 nt
Filed under: Anser brachyrhynchus (Pink-footed goose)
Lineage: Eukaryota; Metazoa; Chordata; Aves; Anseriformes; Anatidae
Source: RNAcentral